CCUACUUUUGAAUAUUUCAGAAACAAAAUCAUAUACUGAAGUACUUUCACCAAGAGUAAACACAAAUUAAGCCCCCCUCUUUGUGGAGUCCAUGCAAUUCAAGGUCGACUUCGUUGAGGGAGAGGGUGAUUGCGAAAACCAUCGAUUUGGGAAUAUUUUAAUUUAAAACUCUCUCCCACCGGGUAACCACGUGAAGUGGUACAAUACAAAUACUAGGUGUUUUUUCCUAUCCACCCACUUCCUACAAUAUCUCGUUAUAAAGAGAAAACCAACUUUAUGAAGAAAAGAUGAGGAAAAGGAAAGCUCCUGGUCUGCAAUCAAUGCCUCCUUACUCACUGCUUCCUUCUUUACUCCUUCCUCCUCCUUCUUCCUCUAUCUCUCUCUUCUCUCUCAUUAUAUGCGCUGCAUUCAACCCCCAAUAACAUGUCUCUCUCAGUCCUUCUGGUCUUCACGGAGGAGGCAGCUGUCUUUCUCAAGCUAGCAGCAAGCUUUCUCUGCUGGUAAAAACAGCAUUUGUUACAAAACACACAUGGCUGUCUUUCUCAAAGCUAGUCCUUCUCGGGUCUUCACUGUU
RNAcentral lists this long non-coding RNA (574 nucleotides) under Rosa chinensis. Its description in RNAcentral is "sRNA RchiOBHm_Chr7g0184621". The record is from RNAcentral. Lineage: Eukaryota; Viridiplantae; Streptophyta; Magnoliopsida; Rosales; Rosaceae.